UACGGAGGAUGCGAGCGUUAUCCGGAUUUAUUGGGUUUAAAGGGUGCGUAGGCGGGCUUUUAAGUCAGCGGUAAAAAUUCGGGGCUCAACCCCGUCCGGCCGUUGAAACUGGGGGCCUUGAGUGGGCGAGAAGAAGGCGGAAUGCGUGGUGUAGCGGUGAAAUGCGUAGAUAUAUGGAAGAACACCAGUGGCGAAAGCGGCUCUCUGGUCUGUAACUGACGCUGAGGUUCGAAAGCGUGGGUAGCAAACAGG
Molecule: ribosomal RNA, 252 nt
Filed under: uncultured bacterium
Lineage: Bacteria
Description: partial 16S ribosomal RNA
Rfam family: Bacterial small subunit ribosomal RNA
Source: RNAcentral